AGCUCCAAUAGCGUAUAUUAAAGUUGUUGCAGUUAAAAAGCUCGUAGUUGGAUUUCUGGUCUGAGCGUUUAGUCCGGCGCUGUGCGUUGUGUACUUGAAUGACUUGGACCUUCCUUGUAGGGAAUAUGUGUGGUCUUAAUUGAUCGUGCAUGGGAACUGCAUCGUUUACUGUGAAAAAAUUAGAGUGUUUAAAGCAGGCAUUUGCUGUGAAUACAUUAGCAUGGAAUAAUAAGAUAGGACUUUGGUACUAUUUUGUUGGUUGGAGGCCAAGGUAAUGAUUAAUAGGGAUAGUUGGGGGUAUUCAUAUUUAAUUGUCAGAGGUGAAAUUCUUGGAUUUAUGAAAGAUGAACUUAUGCGAAAGCAUUUACCAAGGAUGUUUUCA
Molecule: ribosomal RNA, 382 nt
Filed under: uncultured eukaryote
Lineage: Eukaryota
Description: SSU rRNA
Rfam family: Eukaryotic small subunit ribosomal RNA
Source: RNAcentral